Blastosporella zonata is the source of this 83-nucleotide non-coding RNA. The record is from the annotation of a GenBank genome assembly. Lineage: Eukaryota; Fungi; Basidiomycota; Agaricomycetes; Agaricales; Lyophyllaceae.
UCUUUGCUAGUAUAUCGGUUAGUACACGCGCCUGUCAUACACUAGUAUCGCGCGAAAGCUGGGUUCGACUCCCAGGCAGAGAG